RNAcentral lists this small nucleolar RNA (75 nucleotides) under Sorex araneus (European shrew). RNAcentral's name for it is "Small nucleolar RNA R38 (ENSSARG00000018538.1)". The record is from RNAcentral. Lineage: Eukaryota; Metazoa; Chordata; Mammalia; Eulipotyphla; Soricidae.
AAGAGCCAUGAUGAUGCGUUAUCCCUGUCUGAAGGCAGCAGCCUUCUGUGUGGAUAUUGCGUGACUGACGCUCAG